UAGAUAUUUAGAAGAUAGAAUCGUCAUUGAUUUAUUGCACACUUUUCAAAGGAGCAAUGAGAAAGACAUUCAUCACUUUUCUCUCCUUGGCUUUCAUGAUGCUUAUUACAAUAGGCUUGCAGAGUGUACGAGAUUCAGUUUUGAUAGGUGAACCAUGCACAACAGUUGCGGAUUGCCGCCAUUCUUGUCAACAUGGCAUGAUCUACUAUUGCGCCAAUGGAUACUGCCAAUGUGAUAUGAAGGAGGAGGCUAUCGGCAAAAGUGCAACUGGAGUUUUUAGAAAACUUGUAUAAAUUAAUAUGUUAUCACAAUGUCCUUUCAUUAGUGGAAAUAAUGAAGACUUCAAAUAUUAAUUGAGAA
Molecule: long non-coding RNA, 360 nt
Organism: Lycium barbarum (goji berry)
Lineage: Eukaryota; Viridiplantae; Streptophyta; Magnoliopsida; Solanales; Solanaceae
Exons: 2
Source: RefSeq, a predicted model, not a curated record